CCCCUAGAUGUUCUGGGCCGCACGCGCGCUACACUGAACAGUUCAACAAGUCUUAACCUUGGCCGAUAGGUCUGGGUAAUCUUUGAACGCUGUUCGUGAUUGGGAUAGACCUUUGCAAUUAUGGGUCUUCAACGAGGAAUUCCUAGUAAACGCAAGUCAUCAGCUUGCAUUGAUUACGUCCCUGCCCUUUGUACACACCGCCCGUCGCACCUACCGAUUGAAUGGUCCGGUGAAAUCUCGGGACGGCGGCUUGGUCGCUUGCGUCCGACUGCUGAAACUUGAUUAAACCAUAUCAUUUAGAGGAAGGUGAGGUCGUANCA
RNAcentral lists this ribosomal RNA (320 nucleotides) under uncultured eukaryote. Its description in RNAcentral is "partial 18S ribosomal RNA". It matches the Rfam family "Eukaryotic small subunit ribosomal RNA", at positions 1470 to 1796 of the family's 1831-position model. The record is from RNAcentral.